UACGUAGGGGGCUAGCGUUGUCCGGAAUCAUUGGGCGUAAAGCGCGUGUAGGCGGUCCGGUAAGUCCGCUGUGAAAGUCGGGGGCUCAACCCUCGAAUGCCGGUGGAUACUGUCGGGCUAGAGUCCGGAAGAGGAGAGUGGAAUUCCUGGUGUAGCGGUGAAAUGCGCAGAUAUCAGGAGGAACACCGAUGGCGAAGGCAGUUCUCUGGGCCGUAACUGACGCUGAGGAGCGAAAGCGUGGGGAGCGAACAGG
RNAcentral lists this ribosomal RNA (253 nucleotides) under uncultured bacterium. RNAcentral's name for it is "partial 16S ribosomal RNA". It matches the Rfam family "Bacterial small subunit ribosomal RNA", at positions 524 to 776 of the family's 1533-position model. The record is from RNAcentral.